AGGAGUCAGCUGUUUACGUAAAUCUACUCCUUGAUAUAUAUUCAUAUAACAGCAUAAAAGUUACUAAAAUCCUUUGUGUAGGAUGGCGAUUGGCGCUUUUCCAGCCGCCAAAUUAGGUGUUUUGGCCAUAAAACAGAUAAGCAAACCUAUAGCUAACGUAAUUAAAAGUAAUGCCAAGCAGAGUCCCAUAUUUCGCAAAUACGUUUGCAUGCCACCGGCUCAAUUAUACAAUUGGGUUGAAGUAAAAACGAAAAUGUGGGCGCUGAAUUUGGGUAAACCCGUAGCAGUGCCGCCGCUUAACGAAGCUAUGGCUAUUGAGCUGGGCGCAAAUUUGCUUGGCGAAGCCAUUAUUUUUGUGAUAGGUGCUGCAGUACUUAUAUUCGAAUAUACUCGCCAGUCUAACAAUGAAGCGAAAAAGCAAGAAACAAUUCGCCAAGAAAAAGCUGAAUUAGCAAUAACACUGGCUGAAAUGGGUUUCCGUUUGGAACGCCAAGAUGCACAAAUUAGGGAAAUGACGCGUGCGCUGGCAGAUUUAGAAUCGCGUAAUAUAUUCAAAUGGACCCGCGAAACAAUCGCUGAAUACCAGCCUUUCAAUCCAAAUACUCCCGAUCAAAGCAAUAUCGUCGUUAAAGAUUUCGAUGGUGACUAUGAUCCGAAUGGUGGCCUACUAUACAGAGCAUUAAACUUCUUAGAGACGCGUGUUUUUGUUGAUGGACGCAAGAGGAAAGAAUCCACUCUACCUUUAACCGUAAGCAAUGACUUGGAUAUCCAACCGUACGUACACGUGGAAAACGAAGCAGUGCAACAAAAUGUGAUCACAAAACAACAGCUUAAAAAUUCAAAAGCGCAGUGACUAGCCGAAGAGCGUGAAUUACUCCAGCUAAAUAAUGAGAUAGCCAAGUUGGAAUAUGCGAUCGAAACGGCUUCAAAACAAAAAUAAAACAUCCGUUCUACAGUUAACUCGUUGAUCAAAAGAUGUAAACGUACAAGUUUUAUUUUCCAUCCUGCCUGAGGAUUUAAUUUGCAUUUGCGCUUAAAGUGUGAUUAUUUGUUAUCGAGUACAUUUAGUUCAGUACUGCACAUACAUACAUAUGUACUUGCAUGUUUCAUACAUUCUGGUUGUAAAUAUUGCUUAUUUUGUAGGACCAAAACGUGUUUUAAUGCUUGAAAUUUGAAUAAAAAGUGUUAAUUAAAAUAUUUAUUGUAA
This 1207-nucleotide unclassified non-coding RNA is filed under the name Bactrocera latifrons. RNAcentral describes it as "putative OPA3-like protein CG13603, transcript variant X3". Lineage: Eukaryota; Metazoa; Arthropoda; Insecta; Diptera; Tephritidae. The record is from RNAcentral.